CCGAAUUGAAACGAUCAUGAGAUCUAGUGAUAAAGUAAUCCUAUCAGUUUUUUUAUUUUCAGUAUUUAGUAGGAUUGCUAGUACUAGUAAAGAUAGUGACAUAACUAUUUUCGGUAAUAUCAAAAAGCUACCACAAGAAAUGUCAGAACGUAUGGAUGAAUGUUGGUAUACUUACAAGACUAGAUUGAACAAAACGUACACGACGAAGGAGGAGCUUGAAAGACGAGCAGCUUGGGAGAAGAACCUGCUGAAAAUUUACGAGCACAACUUGAUGGCUGAAGCAGGCCAUCAUACCUAUACAUUAAAAGACAACCAUAUUGCUGAUUUAUGUACAUACCAAUACAUGAAAAAUAUGGUAAAAUUAAAGCCAAGUCGUCGACGGAAAAUAAAUGACAAUGAAAUAGUUGGUGCCGUUCUCCACGAUCCCACAAGAAUUCCUACCAAUCUCGAUUGGCGAAAAAGGGGUUUCAACACUAUUGCAAUAGAUCAACGUGCAUGUGGUAGCUGUUAUGCUUAUUCAAUAGUGGAAAGUUUAAUGGGUCAAAUAUUCCAAAAAACUGGUAGAAUGAUUCCUUUAAGUGCUCAACAGCUCAUUGAUUGUAGUACAGUAACUGGAAACUUAGGAUGUAGUGGAGGAUCACUCAGAAAUACUCUAAAAUAUAUUGAAAAAGCUGGUGGAUUAAUGGAAGAAAGAAAUUAUCCAUAUGUAGCUGAGGAAGGUCGGUGCAAAUUCCAAAGAAUCCUCAGUAUCAUCAACAUUACAUCAUGGGCUAUUUUGCCAGCGAGAGAUGAACGAGCUUUGCAAGCUGCUGUGGCGACCAUUGGACCAAUAGCAGUUUCUAUCAAUGCCAGUCCACGGACAUUUCAAUUAUAUCACCAGGGAAUUUACGAUGACCCGCUAUGCAGUUCAGACACAGUAAAUCAUGCUAUGCUGUUAGUUGGUUACACACCACAGGAAUGGAUAUUAAAAAACUGGUGGGGUGAAAAUUGGGGUGAAGGUGGUUACAUGCGGAUAAGGAGAAAUAAAAAUCUUUGUGGAAUUGCUAAUUAUGCUGCUUAUGCUCGCAUAUGAAAUCAUUAUUUCGUCAACAUGCUUCGAUGAUAAACUACAUUGUCAUGGCUUCAACACGUCUAGAGCAGGUGGCGAAUUUGCGGUUAACUCACCACAUCAAGGCGCCCGACGCUCGUCUCGACAAUUCAACUAAACGCUCGCCAAAAGUGUCAUCAGACUAUUUCACGCAUCGUAAUUUCCAAUGAAGCUCUCAAUUCUCAUCAUGCAUCUACAUUGUUAAGCCAUAUUACAUUCGUUUCUUCUUCUCCUUCUUCUUUUCUUCUUGACAGUGUACUGAAUAUUAAUAUCAAAUAAUUUACACAUUUCAUUUUUCAUAAAAAAGACUUCUAGCUAAGAGUUAGUAUAGUACACUGUAGAAUCAUAUUUUACAUACUUGUUAACAAUUUUUUUUAAUUUAUUAUCUGACGACUAUGCAAAUAUUAU
RNAcentral lists this unclassified non-coding RNA (1495 nucleotides) under Chelonus insularis. RNAcentral's name for it is "cathepsin L1, transcript variant X5". The record is from RNAcentral. Lineage: Eukaryota; Metazoa; Arthropoda; Insecta; Hymenoptera; Braconidae.